RNAcentral lists this ribosomal RNA (144 nucleotides) under uncultured eukaryote. RNAcentral describes it as "partial 18S ribosomal RNA". It matches the Rfam family "Eukaryotic small subunit ribosomal RNA", at positions 1299 to 1458 of the family's 1831-position model. The record is from RNAcentral.
UGGUGGAGUGAUUUGUCUGGUUAAUUCCGUUAACGAACGAGACCUUGACCUGCUAACUAGUCACCGUAAACAUUUUGUUUGCGGGCAGUACUUCUUAGAGGGACAAUCUGUGUUUCCAGCAGAUGGAAGCUCGAGGCAAUAACA